RNAcentral lists this long non-coding RNA (400 nucleotides) under Bos taurus (domestic cattle). Its description in RNAcentral is "long non-coding RNA NONBTAT025132". The record is from RNAcentral. Lineage: Eukaryota; Metazoa; Chordata; Mammalia; Artiodactyla; Bovidae.
GAAUAUUUGGAGUAAUGGAAAUCUUAUGGUGUGAAACCUUUUGAAGAGUUAAUGGACUUUUGCUUCAGGAAGGAAAAUAAGCACUUGUCAACUUAGCUCGGAUCAAGCAUUUCAAGGGUAAUGUUCAUAGAAUGUUUGGUGAGAAAAAAAAAAAAGGAAACAACAGAACAGAAUAGUUCUUACAAAAACUAUCUCCCUACAACAAGAAAUAAACACAAUAAAUUGCACUAUAAAGUAAGUUAGAGGUAUACAUAAGAUGCAUGCAAUGCAAUUUUAGUCCUCAACACUGUCUCUUUGCUUUUCACUAAUAAAAUAAGCUUGAUUAUUGAAAGCACUCACCCUUUGAUUUUUAAACAUUGUGUUCAGAGAGAAGAUCAUGCUACAGAAGUACCAAAAUACG